GGAGAGGUGGCUGAGAGGCUUAAAGCGGCAGCUUGCUAAGUUGUUGUACAAAAAUUUUUGUACCAUGGGUUCGAAUCCCAUUCUCUCCG
Molecule: transfer RNA, 89 nt
Filed under: Botryococcus braunii
Lineage: Eukaryota; Viridiplantae; Chlorophyta; Trebouxiophyceae
Description: tRNA-Ser
Rfam family: tRNA
About the family: Transfer RNA (tRNA) molecules are approximately 80 nucleotides in length. Their secondary structure includes four short double-helical elements and three loops (D, anti-codon, and T loops).
Source: RNAcentral